RNAcentral lists this ribosomal RNA (518 nucleotides) under uncultured bacterium. Its description in RNAcentral is "bacterial SSU rRNA". It matches the Rfam family "Bacterial small subunit ribosomal RNA", at positions 27 to 518 of the family's 1533-position model. The record is from RNAcentral.
GGACGAACGCUGGCGGCGUGCCUAAUACAUGCAAGUCGAACGGCUUUUCUAUGGAAGCUUGCUUCCACUGAGAAGAUAGUGGCGAACGGGUGAGUAACACGUGGGUAACCUGCCCAUAAGAGGGGGAUAACAUCCGGAAACGGGUGCUAAUACCGCAUAGUUUUCUUGAUCGCAUGAUCGGGAAAGGAAAGACGGCCUUUGUGCUGUCGCUUAUGGAUGGACCCGCGGCGUAUUAGUUAGUUGGUGAGGUAACGGCUCACCAAGACGAUGAUACGUAGCCGACCUGAGAGGGUGAUCGGCCACAUUGGGACUGAGACACGGCCCAAACUCCUACGGGAGGCAGCAGUAGGGAAUCUUCCGCAAUGGACGAAAGUCUGACGGAGCAACGCCGCGUGAGUGAAAGAAGGUUUUCGGACCGUAAAACUCUGUUGUCAGAGAAGAACAAGUUGGAGAGUAACUGCUCCAGCCUUGACGGUAUCUGACCAGAAAGCCACGGCUAACUACGUGCCAGCCGCAGC